CAGUCAGUCUUCAUUUUCCUCUAUAGUCAGAGUGUUUCCGUACACUUGUAAUUGUGCUGCUGCCAUGCCAUUAUUUGUCUUUUCAGUAGGGAACAUGAGAGGACCAUUUGCAGAGGUCUAGAGCUCACGUUUCAAGAAUUUUUCAAGAGGCAUUAGUGAACUGACGGAAGGUGAUCAUCAGCAGGCCUUAGGUGGUAUGACCUCUUCCUCAUUGGGUUGGUGACCUGGACCUUUACAGUGAUGGGGAAGCUGACCUGUUCUUUCUCCCUGACUAGGAGAGAUGAAGUCUUGGAGAGAAUGGUUAGAUCGGAGAGCUGCCGCACGUCGUGCGCGCUCUCGUGUUUCUCGCGCGACAACCGGACUAUAGACGCUGCUGCAGAGGA
This is a long non-coding RNA of Pygocentrus nattereri (red-bellied piranha), 383 nucleotides long. RefSeq lists it as uncharacterized. The record is from RefSeq and is a predicted model, not a curated record. The transcript has 4 exons. Lineage: Eukaryota; Metazoa; Chordata; Actinopteri; Characiformes; Serrasalmidae.